UCUUACUCUGAUAUCGCAACAACAGAAAUAGUACGGAGUGGUUCUACUCAAUCUAACAUGAUAACAACUCGAAUUCAAUUUCUAUUCUAAAUGAUUGGAAUCAUUAGGUCGCAGCAAUCUUCUAGCGGCAGCAAGGGUUCAAUAUCCUUUUUCUUUUCUUUUCUUUUCUUCUCUUUUCUUUUCUCUUCCUAUCCCUUCAAAUCUACCCUAUCCAAACGUACCCUAAAAUCUCAGGGAAGUUAGUCUAAUUUGCCCUCAUUCGUUUGCGCGUCAUUUCUCUCUAGCGACUCACUGAUCACCUGCUCAACCGUCGAAAACAGCACUCACUGCCGAUCUCUUUCAACCUCGAACGUUGCUGCAAUCUUCAAAUUCACAAAAAAGCCGAUUUGUUGACUGGACCCAAAGAAUCUAUUGUCAUGUUUUGUCUGAGGAAAAUGGCUCAACCAUUGAUGACUAUAAAGAUUCUGGUACAGCAUAUGGAACCAAAGCAGAUCCGGGAUGUCAUUGGCCACUAUGCAGAGAAAGGGACUCUCAUCGAGUUUGCUGCUUUGCUUACAUCGUUGGCUCGGGCUCGGCUUCGCGCUUUCGAUCCCUUCACUUGUGAUUUUGAAGUUGAAAGUUCCGGUAGAAUGGAGACACUGAGCAGCCGCACUGCAACUAAGAUCAUGUCACUAAUUGAUGAGGAGCAAAAAGCAAUGAUCCGCAAAAAAAUUAAAAUUGGCUGAUAUUUGCAAGGAAAAGCAGAGGUUGAUGAUAUAUAGGAUAAUGUUGCUUGAAAUCUAUGAGAGGAUUGGUGAUGUUAUAGGAGACUGUUUGAACACUAGUAACCCCACUGUAUGUUGCAAUACUUCUGUUUGCGUAGUUUUUGGUCUUACGCCGGUCGAUGGUCUGUUGCGGGCAUGCCAGAGUAUUUGUAUAAAAACACUCAAAAUAUGUUGAUUCGAACACCAGCCUAUUCUUUUUUCCGA
This is a long non-coding RNA of Cornus florida, 968 nucleotides long. RefSeq lists it as uncharacterized. The transcript has 4 exons. Lineage: Eukaryota; Viridiplantae; Streptophyta; Magnoliopsida; Cornales; Cornaceae. The record is from RefSeq and is a predicted model, not a curated record.